GGGACACGUGGUAUCCUGUCUGAAUAUGGGGGGACCAUCCUCCAAGGCUAAAUACUCCUGACUGACCGAUAGUGAACCAGUACCGUGAGGGAAAGGCGAAAAGAACCCCGGCGAGGGGAGUGAAAAAGAACCUGAAACCGUGUACGUACAAGCAGUGGGAGCACAGGUUUACCUGUGUGACUGCGUACCUUUUGUAUAAUGGGUCAGCGACUUAUAUUCUGUAGCAAGGUUAACCGUAUAGGGGAGCCGGAGGGAAACCGAGUCUUAAUUGGGCGUUAAGUUGCAGGGUAUAGACCCGAAACCCGGUGAUCUAGCCAUGGGCAGGUUGAAGGUUGGGUAACACUAACUGGAGGACCGAACCGACUAAUGUUGAAAAAUUAGCGGAUGACCUGUGGCUGGGGGUGAAAGGCCAAUCAAACCGGGAGAUAGCUGGUUCUCCCCGAAAGCUAUUUAGGUAGCGCCUCGUGAAUUCAUCUCCGGGGGUAGAGCACUGUUUCGGCUAGGGGGCCAUCCCGGCUUACCAACCCGAUGCAAACUGCGAAUACCGGAGAAUGUUAUCACGGGAGACACACGGCGGGUGCUAACGUCCGUCGUGAAGAGGGAAACAACCCAGACCGCCAGCUAAGGUCCCAAAGUCAUGGUUAAGUGGGAAACGAUGUGGGAAGGCCCAGACAGCCAGGAUGUUGGCUUAGAAGCAGCCAUCAUUUAAAGAAAGCGUAAUAGCUCACUGGUCGAGUCGGCCUGCGCGGAAGAUGUAACGGGGCUAAACCAUGCACCGAAGCUGCGGCAGCGACACUGUGUGUUGUUGGGUAGGGGAGCGUUCUGUAAGCCUGUGAAGGUGUGUCGUGAGGCAUGCUGGAGGUAUCAGAAGUGCGAAUGCUGACAUAAGUAACGAUAAAGCGGGUGAAAAGCCCGCUCGCCGGAAGACCAAGGGUUCCUGUCCAACGUUAAUCGGGGCAGGGUGAGUCGACCCCUAAGGCGAGGCCGAAAGGCGUAGUCGAUGGGAAACGGGUUAAUAUUCCCGUACUUGGUGUUACUGCGAAGGGGGGACGGAGAAGGCUAUGUUGGCCGGGCGACGGUUGUCCCGGUUUAAGCGUGUAGGUGUGUGUUCCAGGUAAAUCCGGUUCACUUUAACACUGAGGCGUGACGACGAGGCACUACGGUGCUGAAGCAACAAAUGCCCUGCUUCCAGGAAAAGCCUCUAAGCAUCAGGUAACAUCAAAUCGUACCCCAAACCGACACAGGUGGUCAGGUAGAGAAUACCAAGGCGCUUGAGAGAACUCGGGUGAAGGAACUAGGCAAAAUGGUGCCGUAACUUCGGGAGAAGGCACGCUGACACGUAGGUGAAGUGAUUUACUCAUGGAGCUGAAGUCAGUCGAAGAUACCAGCUGGCUGCAACUGUUUAUUAAAAACACAGCACUGUGCAAACACGAAAGUGGACGUAUACGGUGUGACGCCUGCCCGGUGCCGGAAGGUUAAUUGAUGGGGUCAGCGCAAGCGAAGCUCCUGAUCGAAGCCCCGGUAAACGGCGGCCGUAACUAUAACGGUCCUAAGGUAGCGAAAUUCCUUGUCGGGUAAGUUCCGACCUGCACGAAUGGCGUAAUGAUGGCCAGGCUGUCUCCACCCGAGACUCAGUGAAAUUGAACUCGCUGUGAAGAUGCAGUGUACCCGCGGCAAGACGGAAAGACCCCGUGAACCUUUACUAUAGCUUGACACUGAACAUUGAGCCUUGAUGUGUAG
Molecule: ribosomal RNA, 1740 nt
Filed under: Salmonella enterica
Lineage: Bacteria; Pseudomonadati; Pseudomonadota; Gammaproteobacteria; Enterobacterales; Enterobacteriaceae
Also listed under: 2 other names
Description: partial 23S ribosomal RNA
Rfam family: Bacterial large subunit ribosomal RNA
Source: RNAcentral